CGCAAAGACGGUGACCUUCAGGCGCUUGGCAUCUUUGCUCUUCCGCCAUAUUACAAUCCUUGAUAGAUCUCAAUCCCGAUACCUUCCGAUAUAUGGAACCUGAGUAAUUGAAGAAUAACAGAGAGAAGGAAGCGGGGGGAGAAUCUUAACGAGAGAGAGAGAGAGAGGAAGGAUGAAAGAUGAAAGGAAAGAAAAUUGAAAGAGGAUAAAAGGAAAGAAAAAAAUGAAAAUUUAGAAGAAACAAACGGAAAGAGAGAGAGCAAGGAGCGGAGAAAAGGGACAAAUGAAGA
This 290-nucleotide unclassified non-coding RNA is filed under the name Hevea brasiliensis (rubber tree). The record is from RNAcentral. Lineage: Eukaryota; Viridiplantae; Streptophyta; Magnoliopsida; Malpighiales; Euphorbiaceae.